ACUACUUUGGCAGAUAAGUGCAAUGGAUUUAGAAUCCUUAAAUGGAGAUUAGCCUUCAGGUAGUA
Molecule: transfer RNA, 65 nt
Filed under: Epeorus dayongensis
Lineage: Eukaryota; Metazoa; Arthropoda; Insecta; Ephemeroptera; Heptageniidae
Description: tRNA-Leu
Rfam family: tRNA
About the family: Transfer RNA (tRNA) molecules are approximately 80 nucleotides in length. Their secondary structure includes four short double-helical elements and three loops (D, anti-codon, and T loops).
Source: RNAcentral